Molecule: non-coding RNA, 30 nt
Filed under: Mus musculus (house mouse)
Lineage: Eukaryota; Metazoa; Chordata; Mammalia; Rodentia; Muridae
Source: RNAcentral
UCUUGUUUUAAACCAAGAUCGAAGGCCAGC